Phoenix dactylifera (date palm) is the source of this 977-nucleotide long non-coding RNA. RefSeq lists it as uncharacterized. The record is from RefSeq and is a predicted model, not a curated record. Lineage: Eukaryota; Viridiplantae; Streptophyta; Magnoliopsida; Arecales; Arecaceae.
GGAAGGGGGGACAGAGAGAGAGAGAGAUUGGGAUGUAGCAGUAGCAGUGGAAGGGACAUGCAGAGGAAAGGCCAAGAAAGAGAGGAGGCAAAAAUGGUUCUCAUCUCAAUGCUUCUUCUCAAGGCAGAUUCCUGUGCAUGCCUCCUCCACCCCUGCUGCUACCAUUCCCCUCCCCUUCUGAAGUGGCUGCUCUGUCUUUCUUGAAGGAUUAUUGGAACCUUGCUGUAUAUAUACAUAUGCAUAUGCAUAGUGUAUAUGUAUGGAUGCAUAUGUGUGUAUGUAUGCGUACAUACGUAUGAAUGUAUGUAUGCGUCUAUGAAAAAAAAACCGUCUAUGAAUCUCACUGAACAUCUGGUUAACCACCUCAAAUGAAGCUGAAUCUGAGUUGGUCAAACUAAAGAUGGAUGGGGGAAGAAGGAAUGGCAGCUGGAUCAGGUAUGUGUUUGUGUAAAGGCAGUUCUGAAUCCAUUAAUGACGUUCUCCUCCAUUGCCCUUUUGCAAAGCAUAUCUAGGGCAAGCUGAGGACUUCAAAGGCAGAGACUGGCUUCCCUGUUUUCAGGCUGGACCUACUGGAGGAAAAAGAGGGUGAAAUGAGCAAUAAGAAGAGUUUGGAGUCAGCUGCUACUAGCUCCAUGCUGGCAUCUAAGGAACAUAAGGCUAGGGCUUUUCUCAAGCAUAAAUAUCCCCAAUGCAGUUGAUCCCUCAUCAGCCACUAAACUCUUCAAGCUUAGCAACUCCCAUGUAUUUUAGGCUCUUAAUCUCGCAUGGUACUUGCUAUGAAUAAAUAGUGGGGGCUGUUCUGCAUCCCACUGUUCUCAGAUCAGAUCCUAUAAGAAGAGUAACAACUUAUGCUAGGUCAUUUCUCUGAAAAAAAAACAACAAAAAAAAUAAAGACACAACUGGAAAGGGGGGAUUUCAAGCAGUUUGAACUGUUGGGAAACCAACAAGAUCAUUUGAGAAAUAUGAAUUAAUUAGUU